This is a long non-coding RNA of Ceratina calcarata, 289 nucleotides long. RefSeq lists it as uncharacterized. The transcript has 2 exons. Lineage: Eukaryota; Metazoa; Arthropoda; Insecta; Hymenoptera; Apidae. The record is from RefSeq and is a predicted model, not a curated record.
GUUUUACGUCGUUAAGCUUUCUCCUCUCGAGUCGAUCUCCGAUGCGUUCACGGCAUACGAUAGAAUGAUCUGGUUACAAGGAAACUACACGGAAAAGUUGAAUUUCACAAAUUUGAAGAACCGUUCAAGAGGAUAUAAAAAAUAGAAAAGGAGGAUCCGAAAGAAAAUGUGGAAUCGUUUAAUCCAUCAAUUAUUUUAAGAAGAUAUACCAUUACAUGAUUAUAACAUAAUAACUGUAUUCAACCCGAUAUAUAACAAUAUGAUACAUAAUAUAAAGUUCUAAGAGAAA